CUGCUUCAUUUCCACACACCCCCCACCCUGCCACCCUUUCUGGCUGCCAUAAGGUCCUGUCUAGAUCUGACAUCCUGUGAUUCUGAGAUGCUCCCCGAUGAAAGCAAUGUUUUAAACUCUGGGUUUGUCAAGCUCAAGAAGAAUAUAAGGUUGAAAAGGUCAUCCGAUUGCUGCUUUGUCCUCAGGACUCCUGGUGAUUCCACACAUGCUUUUACUUCUGAGCACAUACUUCUUCCUGAACCAUUCUAUGACCCCUGGUCCCAGUCCUUCCUGGUCAAAAUCCCUCUAAGUCCAGAGUCUCCUUGAUGUUAAAAGGAUGUUUCCUGUUCAUAAUUUAACUAAUAUAUCCUGGGCUAAAUUCUGCUGCUGUCCAUGCUUCUCCCUUUGCCAAACACCAGGACAUCACUGGAUCUCCAUGACAGAUGAGAAGUACAUUUCAGAAGGACUGCCAUGAGUUGAGCAGCUUUGCUCCAGCACAACCUCCUAGCCAUGAUGUUCUAUACACCACAGGCCCAGAAACUGUGGAGCCCAGUGACCAUGGAAUAAAAUCUUUGAA
Molecule: long non-coding RNA, 556 nt
Organism: Marmota flaviventris (yellow-bellied marmot)
Lineage: Eukaryota; Metazoa; Chordata; Mammalia; Rodentia; Sciuridae
Source: RefSeq, a predicted model, not a curated record